GUAGAUGUGAGCAUCAAACGUGGUCUUCCACUCAGGAUACAUGGUCGGCUUCUUCUGCACCAGCGUCUUCCCUCGCUCUGCGAUGGGGUCAGGCAGGAAAGGCAUUCACUCAGUGAACCCCUGCUGAGAGUUGCCAAGUGCCAGCCACAGCACGGGAGGUGAGGAACAUGACAGAAAGAAAAGUCAAACCUGGGGCCUGUCCUCCUGGAGCCCCAGUCCAGGGCAGAGACACAAACCAACACAUUCCUUGAGUAACCACUUAAGUCACAGCUGUGACGAAAUUAAAGAAGGCAAGGCCAGUGGUUCUAAGGCCAUCCAUGGUCAAGUGGCCUGACCCAGCCUAAGGGUCAGGGAAGGCUUCCUGGAGGAAUGGACAGUCAGCUGGGUCUUAGAGGACUCAUUGCCUGGUGAUACGUCCAGCUCCCCAUCUAACUGUGAACCCCAUGAGGGAAGGACUUGGACGGUCCUGGAUCAUGACAGGGUCCUCAGAUGGACACGUGGAAACGGUUAGGUGGAACAACCAAUACAGCCAGAAACUCUAAAGCCUGGUGGGGUUCAAUUUAGCCAGGCCUUGAGACCCUGUGGCCUUAGCUUUCCUGCAUCCAUAGCUGGGCAGGGAGAUAAGAACAAGGAAGAGAAGACACCUUAGAGGUUCCACAGAACAAAGUAAGGCCCCUGGCCCCUCCUGCUGAGCCUCACACCGCCACCCCAGGGUCUGGGCUUCGGCCCUACCUGUGCUGAGAGCCUCCUUCAUCUUCACGG
Molecule: long non-coding RNA, 762 nt
Organism: Marmota flaviventris (yellow-bellied marmot)
Lineage: Eukaryota; Metazoa; Chordata; Mammalia; Rodentia; Sciuridae
Source: RefSeq, a predicted model, not a curated record